UGUAAGCUGCAACUCGCCUACACGAAGCUGGAAUCGCUAGUAAUCGCGGAUCAGCACGCCGCGGUGAAUACGUUCCCGGGCCUUGUACACACCGCCCGUCACACCAUGGAAGUCUGCAAUGCCCGAAGCCGGUGGCCUAACCACUUAUGUGGAAGGAGCCGUCUAAGGCAGGGCAGAUGACUGGGGUGAAGUCGUAACAAGGUAAC
This 206-nucleotide ribosomal RNA is filed under the name uncultured bacterium. RNAcentral describes it as "partial 16S ribosomal RNA". It matches the Rfam family "Bacterial small subunit ribosomal RNA", at positions 1299 to 1500 of the family's 1533-position model. The record is from RNAcentral.